Molecule: ribosomal RNA, 253 nt
Filed under: uncultured bacterium
Lineage: Bacteria
Description: partial 16S ribosomal RNA
Rfam family: Bacterial small subunit ribosomal RNA
Source: RNAcentral
UACAGAGGGGGCUAGCGUUGUUCGGAAUUACUGGGCGUAAAGGGCGCGUAGGCGGCCCUCUAAGUCGAACGUGAAAUCCCCGGGCUCAACCCGGGAACUGCGUCCGAUACUGGAGGGCUCGAAUCCGGGAGAGGGAUGUGGAAUUCCAGGUGUAGCGGUGAAAUGCGUAGAUAUCUGGAGGAACACCGGUGGCGAAGGCGGCAUCCUGGACCGGUAUUGACGCUGAGGCGCGAAAGCCAGGGGAGCAAACGGG